This 424-nucleotide ribosomal RNA is filed under the name uncultured bacterium. RNAcentral's name for it is "bacterial SSU rRNA". It matches the Rfam family "Bacterial small subunit ribosomal RNA", at positions 355 to 776 of the family's 1533-position model. The record is from RNAcentral.
UAGGGAAUAUUGGUCAAUGGACGCAAGUCUGAACCGGCCAUCCCGCGUGCAGGACGACGGCCCUAUGGGUUGUAAACUGCUUUUGUACAGGAAGAAUAAGCACUACGUGUAGUGUGAUGACGGUACUGUAAGAAUAAGGAUCGGCUAACUCCGUGCCAGCAGCCGCGGUAAUACGGAGGAUCCAAGCGUUGUCCGGAUUUAUUGGGUUUAAAGGGUGCGUAGGCGGUCUAUUAAGUCAGUGGUGAAAGUUUGCGGCUUAACCGUAAAAUUGCCAUUGAAACUGAUAGACUUGAGUUUGGUUGAGGUUGCCGGAAUGUGUCAUGUAGCGGUGAAAUGCUUAGAUAUGAUACAGAACACCGAUUGCGAAGGCAGGUGACUAAACCAAUACUGACGCUGAGGCACGAAAGCGUGGGGAUCAAACAGG